GUGCUCGCUUCGGUAGCACAUAUACUAAAAUUGGAAAGAUACAGAGAAGAUUAGCAUGGCCUCUGUGCAAAGAUGACAUGCAAACUCAUGAAGCGUUCCUUUUUUUU
Molecule: small nuclear RNA, 107 nt
Filed under: Sus scrofa (pig)
Lineage: Eukaryota; Metazoa; Chordata; Mammalia; Artiodactyla; Suidae
Source: RNAcentral